This 793-nucleotide ribosomal RNA is filed under the name uncultured Rikenellaceae bacterium. RNAcentral describes it as "bacterial SSU rRNA". It matches the Rfam family "Bacterial small subunit ribosomal RNA", at positions 100 to 896 of the family's 1533-position model. Lineage: Bacteria; Pseudomonadati; Bacteroidota; Bacteroidia; Bacteroidales; Rikenellaceae. The record is from RNAcentral.
CACGGGUGCGUAACGCGUAUGCAACCUACCCUUAUCAGGGGGAUAACACUGAGAAAUUGGUACUAAUACCCCAUAACAUCAGGACCGGCAUCGGUUCUGGUUGAAAACUCCGGUGGUUAUGGAUGGGCAUGCGUUGUAUUAGCUGGUUGGUGAGGUAACGGCUCACCAAGGCAACGAUACAUAGGGGGACUGAGAGGUUAACCCCCCACAUUGGUACUGAGACACGGACCAAACUCCUACGGGAGGCAGCAGUGAGGAAUAUUGGUCAAUGGACGCAAGUCUGAACCAGCCAUGCCGCGUGCAGGAAGACGGCUCUAUGAGUUGUAAACUGCUUUUGUACGAGAGUAAACGCUCUUACGUGUAAGAGCCUGAAAGUAUCGUACGAAUAAGGAUCGGCUAACUCCGUGCCAGCAGCCGCGGUAAUACGGAGGAUCCAAGCGUUAUCCGGAUUUAUUGGGUUUAAAGGGUGCGUAGGCGGUUUGAUAAGUUAGAGGUGAAAUACCGGUGCUUAACACCGGAACUGCCUCUAAUACUGUUGAACUAGAGAGUAGUUGCGGUAGGCGGAAUGUAUGGUGUAGCGGUGAAAUGCUUAGAGAUCAUACAGAACACCGAUCGCGAAGGCAGCUUACCAAACUAUAUCUGACGUUGAGGCACGAAAGCGUGGGGAGCAAACAGGAUUAGAUACCCUGGUAGUCCACGCAGUAAACGAUGAUAACUCGCUGUCGGCGAUACACAGUCGGCGGCUAAGCGAAAGCGAUAAGUUAUCCACCUGGGGAGUACGUUCGCAAGAAUG